CCUAGCUGGCAGCAUGGGUCAUCCUGGUCAAGUUGAGUCAGGACUGGUUCUGAGAGCUCCUGGGAGAACCACAUGAACCUGAGGAGCCAUCUAGUCUCCAUCAUGAGGUGGCAGUCAUGCAAUGAUGGCCCCUCCUGCAGGGGCAGCCUCCAUUCCGUCAUGGGUAACGGCUCCCGCUUGGUGGGCAACCUCAUCAGGCACCUACAAGGCUCAGUUUUUCCCAAAUCCAAGGGGACUGUGGGCUUAGGACAAUGACUCCAGACUUCUAGGCAUCACUGGGGGGCUCCAGAACUGGGUAUUGUAAAAGCUGGAACUCGGAUGUUCUUACAAAUCCUGAAUGUAACUUCAGUUACUCCUCUUUCGCCAUCCUAAAUCUUGAAGGGGAUGAGACACCAGACGCAUUUAGGGCUGGUGACACAGGCAGGCCUUUCUUAAGUGUUAACCUGCCUAUGUGAGAGCUACACCCAAGUUUAAAGCAAUACAUGAAAUGAACACAAAAUGAAGGUGGGGACGCCAAGCUCCAUCCUGCUCUUAGCUACCCACUGGGCACCUCCACGUCCUGCUGUCUCACUCUGGACAUCAGCGUGCGUGAACGAGGUAUUGGCACUCUGAAAGCCUGGCCUCUCAUUAGUCACUCCCACCUCUCAUGCAGCAGGAGGCAGCAGGAUUUCUCACACACAGCAAUCAUUUCUUUCUCUGGUAAAGACAGUAAUCUUGGGAAAAGAAGGGCAAUUAUCUUAGCAGAAUUACCAACCUUGCAGGGUGACAUUAUCAACUGUUGGAAAUUACAUGGUAUUCAUUUGCUGCUAUUUUAAUGUUUGUCGUCUUCUACUUCCCCCCUUCCCCAGCCCAGUGCUGAAUCCCCUACCUUCCCACCUCCUUCUUUCUUUUGAUUAAUCCUGGGAAAUAACUUCCUUAUUUUUAGCAGGCUGAUGCUCCUAGCAGGGAUUUGAUAUUGAGGAUCAUAAUAAGGACUUCCACACUUUCAGCUGGGGCUCAGCCACCACCCUUUGGAUUUUCCAAUGGUGCUUCAGCACGUCUGUGGCUGCCAACAAGGAAAUGCCCACUGGACACCUGAUGGCUGGAUUCAAAGCUGCCUGGCUGCUCUUCCCUCCUUCAGUGAUGAGUGCCUGGUAGCCCGGAAGAGUUCCCAGGCCUUUUCCUGUUAUCCCCGAGAAGUCUCCAACGGGUGCGAGGUCCAGCAUCUCAUCUCGACCCAGAGGCAGAGAUUGACACGUGGGAGGCUGGGGCAGCCUGGUAACUUCUCAGCCUACACAGCGCCACCUGCUGGCUCCCUUCUCCUGCGCAGCCAGGAAGCAGGAGGCAGAGUGGAAGGGGAAGUCCUCAGGCACACGCUGUCUCUGGAUGUGAAGUCAGCUCUGCAGAACGUCCUGGCCGUUCGACCUUGAGGAAGCUGCGGUUCAGCUCCAGACUGUGUAACCACCUUGUGAGAAGACCUGUUCACCCUGACCCAGUCUGAGGAGGCACAGCCUGGAGAGGGGGAGAAAAGGCCAAAGCCCCCACCCCACUCUAAUUCUGUGUUGAUUCUGGUCAAGGCCCUUCAUUAAUGAAAGGCAUUAGUUUUGUUUCUCAAAGAAAAACAAUUUUAGAUACUAAGGUCGUGUGCAACCUUGGCUGAGGGUUGCUGUCGUUCUACUACUGACAGAGCAUUGCUGCAGAUGGAUUAUCACUGCUGUCAAACCUCCCAACAGGCUCUUUCUUUGGACAGCUUUCAUCAGACCUCUGAACCUUCUCCUACACCCAUUUGUGCAAGACCUUGUCAAGUCGGACUUUUUUCGGUGCAGGGGAUCAAACUCAGGACCUUCCACUUGUAAGGCAGGCACGGUGCCACUGAGCUAAAUCCCGGCCCUUCAAGUCUGAUUUUAGCAAAGAGCUCACGCCCUCAGCAUCCCUCACCCUGGUGUCUGGGGAGGCCCCUCAUCCUGUGCCAGAAGACAUCAGGUUUCCCUGUCCUGAAUGCACCCAUGAUUCUUCAGGUCAGCACAGCCCGGGUCCUGGCCCUUGCGCUUCUCCGUCAUUUUCCACCCACUGACCUCACCCUGCCUGGGCGAAGACUCCCGCUUGGCCACGCUGCAGGUGACGUGAACCCUAAUCUCAGUGCUCCCUGCAAGAUCAUACUGAGUGGUCCCGACACCCCAAUACCUGGAUGGUCCUGGACAAAGUCCUUCUUGCCACAGUUUCACAAGUGUCACUGAAUGUUUUUUUCUGUAACAUCCCCAAGAUUUUUACUCUAAGAAGCCUUUCCUGUAACCCUAAAUGCAUCCCUGGUCUGCAUAAAGUUAGUUUUCGGGUGGGGGUGACUUUUUCAAUGUCCAGCUUCUCGGUGGCCCUGAAGAAGAGGCCUCAGACCUACGCUGGACGAAUGCUGAGGUGCAGAUGUCUGGAGAGUGCAUUUCGCCCCAAGGACUACAGUUACCACAGCAAGAAGCCUGGGCCCCGUGGAGGUGGCCAGAAGCCCUGAGCACCCUGACUCUGGGAUUACGUCUUUGCUCAGAGUCCUGUUUCGCUCCCACACCCAGAUGAGACUGGCUGUCUCAACUUUCCAUGGCACAGCGACGUAGCUGAAGAUGUGACUAAAAGCAUUUGCGUUCUGUGGGCCUCUUGAAGGCAAUCAGGGUGGAUUUGGUUUGUCCGGGUCUCCAACACCAACUUCAGUGCCCAGAAAGCAAUGCAUCUUUGGUGUUUGUGGAGUGAAUGAAAGGUUAGCACAAGGGUUAGCUAUGCCGUUUUGUCAACAGCAAAGACCUUCAAGCAGUACUUCAAACCAAUGCUUUCAUAAUUCUCACAAACUAGCUCACAGAUCUAGAGUGUGUCACAUUAUAAUAUUAAAUAUAACAUUAAAAUAUUGCAUUUUAUGAUUAAACAAAAUAGGCAUUGUAAAUACCAGGAAAAAUGCAAAGAAAAUUAAAAAAUCUGUAA
Molecule: long non-coding RNA, 2940 nt
Organism: Heterocephalus glaber (naked mole-rat)
Lineage: Eukaryota; Metazoa; Chordata; Mammalia; Rodentia; Bathyergidae
Source: Ensembl